Non-coding RNA from Phthorimaea operculella (potato tuberworm), 82 nucleotides. The record is from the annotation of a GenBank genome assembly. Lineage: Eukaryota; Metazoa; Arthropoda; Insecta; Lepidoptera; Gelechiidae.
GCCGCUGUAGCACAAUUGGUAGAGGCGUCGCCGCCAGUACAUAAUAUGGCGAAGGUCGCUGGUUCAAAUCCAGCCUGCGGUG